Molecule: ribosomal RNA, 487 nt
Filed under: Enterococcus sp.
Lineage: Bacteria; Bacillati; Bacillota; Bacilli; Lactobacillales; Enterococcaceae
Also listed under: 1 other name
Description: bacterial SSU rRNA
Rfam family: Bacterial small subunit ribosomal RNA
Source: RNAcentral
UGCUCCACCGGGAAAAGAGGAGUGGCGAACGGGUGAGUAACACGUGGGUAACCUGCCCAUCAGAAGGGGAUAACACUUGGAAACAGGUGCUAAUACCGUAUAACAAUCGAAACCGCAUGGUUUCGUUUUGAAAGGCGCUUUACGGUGCCGCUGAUGGAUGGACCCGCGGUGCAUUAGCUAGUUGGUGAGGUAACGGCUCACCAAGGCCACGAUGCAUAGCCGACCUGAGAGGGUGAUCGGCCACAUUGGGACUGAGACACGGCCCAAACUCCUACGGGAGGCAGCAGUAGGGAAUCUUCGGCAAUGGACGAAAGUCUGACCGAGCAACGCCGCGUGAGUGAAGAAGGUUUUCGGAUCGUAAAACUCUGUUGUUAGAGAAGAACAAGGGUGAGAGUAACUGUUCACCCCUUGACGGUAUCUAACCAGAAAGCCACGGCUAACUACGUGCCAGCAGCCGCGGUAAUACGUAGGUGGCAAGCGUUGUCCG